Molecule: long non-coding RNA, 703 nt
Organism: Lytechinus pictus (painted urchin)
Lineage: Eukaryota; Metazoa; Echinodermata; Echinoidea; Temnopleuroida; Toxopneustidae
Exons: 2
Source: RefSeq, a predicted model, not a curated record
CAGACCGCAGCUCGCGCGAUAAUGAGCAUAUUCACGGAAAUUUAUUCAGCGGCCCUCUAGCGGUCUCCGAAGGAAAACGUGCGAUCAAUUUGGCUUGAUUUUCCCACUGAAUUGGAGGGGCUGAAGUUAUAGCUCUGUACUGGUCGCUAACUUCAGUUUACGUCGAAACGAAUUGUGAUCUGCAUACUUGCUGACUCUGGUCUCUGCUUGCUACUUCAUUCUGGGAGAGUCCAUCAUGUACUAUAAUGGUCAGACCAUGAUUUCGACAAAGCCCUUAUUUCGUUUGCAAAUUUUGGACUGAUACAACAGAAAAUUUAUCUUUAUCGAUAUUGGAAACAAAAAAAUUAGAGCACAGUUUUGGGGAGGACUAAGAAUACUGACUUGGACAGGAAUACAGCUUGACAAAAAUAAAAAUUCACAAUUCAAAACCAAAGAACAUUUUUAAUGUUACUAAUAGUGCAUUGCAAGAAACUUUCUACUCAAAUCACACAUUCCAAAAUUAAGGGUAAGUCCUUUGAUUAAACACAAACAUGUAGUUGAUUUGCAAUUGAAAUUGAACAUAAGUUUCUUGCAAUGCCCCAUAAUCAUAUUUUGUUCUCAAGCAACUCUGUUAUAUGUUAUCUAAUGUGCUGAAGGUUAAGUGCCAUGUAUGUUCACAAUUUUUUUUUUCGAAGGUAUAAUAUAUUUGUCCUUUUAAACGGUA